This 253-nucleotide ribosomal RNA is filed under the name uncultured bacterium. Its description in RNAcentral is "partial 16S ribosomal RNA". It matches the Rfam family "Bacterial small subunit ribosomal RNA", at positions 524 to 776 of the family's 1533-position model. The record is from RNAcentral.
UACGGGGGGGGCAAGCGUUGUUCGGAAUUACUGGGCGUAAAGGGCUUGUAGGUGGCCAACUAAGUCAGACGUGAAAUCCCUCGGCUUAACCGGGGAACUGCGUCUGAUACUGGAUGGCUUGAGUUUGGGAGAGGGAUGCGGAAUUCCAGGUGUAGCGGUGAAAUGCGUAGAUAUCUGGAGGAACACCGGUGGCGAAGGCGGCAUCCUGGACCGGCAUUGACGCUGAGGAGCGAAAGCUAGGGGAGCAAACGGG